This 491-nucleotide ribosomal RNA is filed under the name uncultured bacterium. RNAcentral describes it as "partial 16S ribosomal RNA". It matches the Rfam family "Bacterial small subunit ribosomal RNA", at positions 28 to 507 of the family's 1533-position model. The record is from RNAcentral.
GAUGAACGCUAGCGAUAGGCUUAACACAUGCAAGUCGAGGGGUAACGUGUUGGAAGCUUGCUUCCGAUGACGGCGACCGGCGGGUGGGUGAGUAACGCGUAUGCAACUUGCCUCACAGUGGAGACUAACCCGGAGAAAUCCGGACUAAUACUCCAUACACUCUUAAGUACGUCUGUACAUGAGAGGAGAGAUUGAUUGAUGUGAGAGAGGCAUGCGUCCUAUUAGGUAGUUGGUGAGGUAACGGCGCAGCAAGGCGACGAUAGGUAGGGGUGCUGAGAGGGAGAUCCCCCGCGAUGGGACUGAGACACAGCCCAAACUCGUACGGGCGGCAGCAGUGACGAAUAUUAGUCAAUGGAGGAAACUCUGAACCAGCCGAGGCGCGUGAAGGAGGAAUGUCCUAGGGAAUGUCAGCUUUUUGAGCGAAAGAGUAAGGACUUCCACAUGAUGGGAGUUUGAAAGUAGCUUGAGAAUAAGUAUCGGCUAACUCCGUG